Felis catus (domestic cat) is the source of this 622-nucleotide long non-coding RNA. RefSeq lists it as uncharacterized. The transcript has 3 exons. The record is from RefSeq and is a predicted model, not a curated record. NCBI's taxonomy places the organism in Eukaryota, Metazoa, Chordata, Mammalia, Carnivora, Felidae.
AUAGCAGCUGUCAACAGCCUGGUGGACCCAUACCCUGCAAACCGGCCAGAGAGGGAGCUGGGCCCCAGAGCCCGAGAGCUACUGCACUGCCUGACACCUGAAUUAUCCUCUCAGGACUGUCUCGGUUCCACUUCUCCCUUCAUAAGUGGAUCCGUACACUGUUUCCCGGGUCAACUAUGAGAGAGAUCCAUUCAUCUCUGUGUCCCCACAACACCAGACACAAGGCCUGGAGCACAGUGUCUGGUUCCAGAUGAGAAGAGAAAAACUCACCUCCCGGGAUUUCUAGAGGGGUGAAAAAGUUAUGACUGGUGAUCCCCCGAAGAACCACUAAGCCUUUGGAAAAAAUGAAAAUGUGAGUCAGAACACACCCUUUCUGGUGAAAGCCUCAUCUGCCAGAAGCAAGCCUCUCCCUGUCAGCCACUCACCAUCUCCAAGACAGCUCAGGGCUCAGAACCAUCCGGACAACUGAUGAACCCCAUCUUCAAGCAAAGGUGUGGAAGCAGUGUGGAUAAUGGAGGAUAACGGCAAAAAUACAACCAUUUUGACUGCUCUUUGUCUUUGAGUCUCCUGAAGUUUCCAAGUCAUUGUGAUGAAAAUUAUUAAAGGUCUGCCCAAGAACGGA